CCUACUUACAUUCUACUUUACCAAAACCAACUCUUUUGAAGAAAAUUUUGUUCUUUUUUUUUUUAGAAAAUCGCUGCUGCCUCGGCAGCGAUUUUGGUUAAGAAUUAAAAAAAAAAAAGUUUUUUUCUUCAAAAAAAAAAAGUUUAAUUCAAUAUUCUUUUUUUUUUUUUUUAAUUCAAUGUUCUUUUAUUAUUAUUUAUGAUAUAUAAUUCAAUUUUCCUUAUGCUUCAACAAUUUUAUUGAGUAUACUGUCCAUC
RNAcentral lists this long non-coding RNA (257 nucleotides) under Solanum tuberosum (potato). RNAcentral describes it as "long non-coding RNA (STUB_LNC008748)". Lineage: Eukaryota; Viridiplantae; Streptophyta; Magnoliopsida; Solanales; Solanaceae. The record is from RNAcentral.